RNAcentral lists this transfer RNA (67 nucleotides) under Tragiscus dimidiatus. RNAcentral describes it as "tRNA-Val". Lineage: Eukaryota; Metazoa; Arthropoda; Insecta; Coleoptera; Scarabaeidae. The record is from RNAcentral.
CAAAUUAGAGCUCGAAGAGUUUUUUAUUUACAUUAAAAGGGUAAAUUGUAUAAUCAAUUUAAUUUGA